GUCGCAUUGGCGCAAUGGUAGCGCGCAAGACUUCUAGCACGUUAUCUUGAGGCUGUGGGUUCGAGCCCCACAUGCGAUG
RNAcentral lists this transfer RNA (79 nucleotides) under Blumeria graminis f. sp. tritici. It matches the Rfam family "tRNA". Rfam says of the family: Transfer RNA (tRNA) molecules are approximately 80 nucleotides in length. Their secondary structure includes four short double-helical elements and three loops (D, anti-codon, and T loops). Further hydrogen bonds mediate the characteristic L-shaped molecular structure. tRNAs have two regions of fundamental functional importance: the anti-codon, which is responsible for specific mRNA codon recognition, and the 3' end, to which the tRNAs corresponding amino acid is attached (by aminoacyl-tRNA synthetases). tRNAs cope with the degeneracy of the genetic code in two manners: having more than one tRNA (with a specific anti-codon) for a particular amino acid; and 'wobble' base-pairing, i.e. permitting non-standard base-pairing at the 3rd anti-codon position. The record is from Rfam by way of RNAcentral. RNAcentral also lists the same sequence under 1 other name. Lineage: Eukaryota; Fungi; Ascomycota; Leotiomycetes; Helotiales; Erysiphaceae.